This is a long non-coding RNA of Medicago truncatula (barrel medic), 1123 nucleotides long. RefSeq lists it as uncharacterized. The transcript is spliced from 2 exons. Lineage: Eukaryota; Viridiplantae; Streptophyta; Magnoliopsida; Fabales; Fabaceae. The record is from RefSeq and is a predicted model, not a curated record.
UCCAAAUGAAAUGGUGAACUACCUUUGUCCAAUGCAAUAUCCCAACAAACAAACUAGUUGUCCAAAUGAAAAAACUAUUCCCUUAACUAAUAUUAAAUGUCAAUUCCUUUCUACCCCAGUUAACUACACUUCAUCAAGUAGUGCUAAUAAUGUAUACAAUUAUGCCUAAUUUUUAUAGUCUUUUAUUCAGUAGUGACAACUUCAAUCUAAAGUAAAAUCCUCCCUGACCCAGAUAAGUAUUGCUCAAUAAAAACAAACUUUGUGUAUAUAUUAACUUGUAGAAACAAAAUCCCUUAUCAUGUGCUUCUUGCCCCCUUAGUACAUAUUUUUCUAUCUUCUCUAAUAUAUAUAUAUCAUAUUCACCACAAUUCCUUGACCAUACACCAUAAUUCUUCUUCUUCUUCAAGACCCUCUUGCAAGCAAGUUUAUUUUGUGUCCUUUUUUUCAUGGCAACCCUCUUUUCUUUGUUGAUCUACAAUUAGAUGGAACAAACUAAAGAAGUGGAGAAUGGAGACUACAAUGAAAGCAAGAGGAUAAUAACAAAGCAAUACAUGAUGAUUUUGGUCUUCUCUUUGUUGAUAAGCAUGCUUGGAGGAUCUUUGCUUGGAUGGUGGCAUCACAAAUAUCAUUCAACAAAUAGGCAACUUUGGAUGGUACCCUUUGGCCUCAUUUUCUUUCUUACUCCACUCAUUAUUUGGUUCUCCCUUUUCAUUUCUCACUUGUUUAUUUCCAAGAGUGAUGAAGAGUUAGAGGAUGCUUCUAAUAUAAGUCAUCUUAUUCAAAUUCAUCCAAUGGAUGAGUCAAUUUGUCAUCCAAAGAGAUGAUCUUUGGCCUAAAAGCUAUUUUGUGCAUGUUAAGUAUUAUGGAAAUAGUUCAAACUAUAUAGAACUUGAAAGUAAGGUGUUAUAUAUCAUAUAUGAGUUAAAAAUUGUGUUAUAUAUAGAUAUAUAUUAUCAUCCCUGAUAAUUGCUUCUAGUAUUUUUUCUUCUUCUUUAAACAGUUCAAAAUACUUCUUAGUAGAUGCUGUAUAUUUGGUAAUGUAAGGUUCAAAAUAAUUGUUGUUCCCUUUGGCAUUUCUAGUCUAGGAGUAGUUUCUAUGGAUUAUCCACUUUUUUUUCAAGGA